RNAcentral lists this ribosomal RNA (885 nucleotides) under Arthrobacter sp. 83ND33. RNAcentral describes it as "bacterial SSU rRNA". It matches the Rfam family "Bacterial small subunit ribosomal RNA", at positions 97 to 994 of the family's 1533-position model. The record is from RNAcentral. Lineage: Bacteria; Bacillati; Actinomycetota; Actinomycetes; Micrococcales; Micrococcaceae.
GGCGAACGGGUGAGUAACACGUGAGUAACCUUCCCUUGACUCUGGGAUAAGCCUGGGAAACUGGGUCUAAUACCGGAUAUGACCAUUGGCCGCAUGGCCUGGUGGUGGAAAGCUUUUGUGGUUUUGGAUGGACUCGCGGCCUAUCAGCUUGUUGGUGAGGUAAUGGCUCACCAAGGCGACGACGGGUAGCCGGCCUGAGAGGGUGACCGGCCACACUGGGACUGAGACACGGCCCAGACUCCUACGGGAGGCAGCAGUGGGGAAUAUUGCACAAUGGGCGCAAGCCUGAUGCAGCGACGCCGCGUGAUGGAUGAAGGCCUUCGGGUUGUAAACAUCUUUCAGUAGGGAAGAAGCGAAAGUGACGGUACCUGCAGAAGAAGCGCCGGCUAACUACGUGCCAGCAGCCGCGGUAAUACGUAGGGCGCAAGCGUUAUCCGGAAUUAUUGGGCGUAAAGAGCUCGUAGGCGGUUUGUCGCGUCUGCUGUGAAAGCCCGGGGCUCAACCCCGGGUCUGCAGUGGGUACGGGCAGACUAGAGUGCAGUAGGGGAGACUGGAAUUCCUGGUGUAGCGGUGAAAUGCGCAGAUAUCAGGAGGAACACCGAUGGCGAAGGCAGGUCUCUGGGCUGUAACUGACGCUGAGGAGCGAAAGCAUGGGGAGCGAACAGGAUUAGAUACCCUGGUAGUCCAUGCCGUAAACGUUGGGCACUAGGUGUGGGGGACAUUCCACGUUUUCCGCGCCGUAGCUAACGCAUUAAGUGCCCCGCCUGGGGAGUACGGCCGCAAGGCUAAACUCAAAGGAAUUGACGGGGGCCCGCACAAGCGGCGGAGCAUGCGGAUUAAUUCGAUGCAACGCGAAGAACCUUACCAAGGCUUGACAUGAACCGG